RNAcentral lists this long non-coding RNA (2067 nucleotides) under Citrus x clementina. RNAcentral's name for it is "Citrus clementina (C. clementina) long non-coding RNA (CCLE_LNC003133)". The record is from RNAcentral. Lineage: Eukaryota; Viridiplantae; Streptophyta; Magnoliopsida; Sapindales; Rutaceae.
AAAAGAAAAAUUAUUAUUUUUAUGUUAUUUUAUUCUCUCUCUUAAUCCCUCACUCUCUCCUCUUUGAUCAUAAUCCCCACCACUUCAUCAACAAGAAGUUCAUCAUCACCACCACCACUACCGUUAGCAAUCAUCUUCUUCACCAUUAAUCCAUAACCUUCACCAAUGGAUAAUGAGUUUUAAUGUUCGAUUUUGUUUCAUUUUUAUGAACAAAUGUUGGGUUCUGUUGUUAUUGAUGAUAUUGAUUUUAACUCUCGUGUGAUAAUCUAAGAUUUUGUUUAAUUUUAAUUUAUGAUUUAAUUAGGUGUUAAUAUUUGAUUCAAGUCGUGGAUCACUUACACAAAUGAGACAGAAAUUAGAAAUGAGAAGUUAAUCUAUUAAGAGAGAAAAAAAAAAUUUUUUUAAUUAUAUUUUAUAUUUCAAUAAGAGCAAUUUUAAAAUAAAUAAUAUUUAUUAAAAAGUGGCGAUGGUAAGAUAAAAGAUAAAGCUAUUUGAAACCCACUAAAAUACUCUCUACACUCAUUUAUUUUUUAUCACAAAAAAAAAACUCAUCUAUAUAAUUUACUGCAAAGGACAAGAUGUUAUAAAUUUAAAGCAAAUAAUUUUACUCAUCCACACUCGGAUUAACAAUUUUUCUACAUUAAACUAAUUUUAUCAAUGUCAGUCAUCAUUAUAAGAUUCUAACUACAAAAACUAUGAUUUCUAACUAUAAGUGUUAGAUAGAUGAUGAUUACUAAAAUAAUUUCUUCAUAUAUAUUGGAAGCCCUUUUUUUUCUUUUUUUAACAUUUUAUUCUCUUUACAUUAAUAAACUGGCAAUAUUCUUCUGAAAUGUAGCAUGUUGAAUUAUGAUUUGAUUGAGGAAGAGAGAUGUAAUCAUCCAAUGACCAGAGAAGGUGCAAGAGAAGAGGGGAAAAAAUGUUUUGAAAUUUCUUUGAUUUUAGUUUAUAAGGGUAAUUUGGUAUUUAAGUAGGCACAUAGAGUAAAUUUUAAAAUUUUGUAAUAGAUGUAGAGAAUAAAUAAGUGUAAAGAGUAUUUUAAUAAAUUUAAAUAACCCAUCUUAAUAUAAAUUGAGGGUGAAAUAUAACUACUCAAUUUAAAAUUACAAUUCCGACCCUAUCAGAAAUUAUAAUUCUAACCCUAGGCCCCAAUCACCUCAGAUUGGUUUAGGAUGAAGUUUGACAAAUAGUUGGCCCCCGAAUCACGUGCCCACUGGGCCCACCAAAUAACGUUAUGAUCAAUGGAAAAGUAUAUUGAAAGAGACUUCAUAAAUCAUACUGUGGACCCAAAUGUAGGGCCAGCCUUUUGUAGGUUAUGAUCAGAUUCGGAUGCACGUAGAGGGGUGCCCACUGCCAAUCGGCCCAACCUCCUCUUUCGUCUUCAUCUUCCCCCACUUUUUUUUAAUCCCAUUAAAAUAUUUUGAACAGUACAAAAUUCUCUGAGCACCUCCGUUAGUCACAAGAUAACUUUAAUGAAACUUAUUCUUCAUAAACCCCAUUCUUUCAAAUUUUUAUUAUUAUUGUUUAAACCUCAUUGCAAGAAUUUUUUUUGCCAAAAACAGUUUCAAAUACCCCUUUAAGAUUUUGAUUGCUAUAACUUACAAUAUAAAAUUUGUGAAAUUUGUAUUUGUCAAUUUAAAACUCCUAAAAUUGGGUUUAAAAAACAAAAGAGGAUUUAUAUGAUAUUUUACUGUCAAAAAUUUUUAAGAAAAGAAAAAAAUUGUAGGUAUGAAGAUGAUUUUUCUUUCUUAAAAAAAUAUUUGUCAUUAGAGUGUGGGUUAAAUUUGAAAUUUUCCCUUUACAUAGUUUUAAUGAAAGUUAAAAUUAUCGCCGAGUGGCUCCCUCACGAUUGUGAGGGUAGUGAUUCGAAUCCUCACAAAAGUAUUGUAGGGACUUAAUUCUUUUUUCAAAUUUGAGUGAUGAUAGUCUUCUCUCUUUUGAAAUGUGAGUGAAGUUGACGUCCCUCAAAAUAUUAGAGAGUGUUAGAAUGUAAGAUUUAAUGUAAACUAGUCUCAGUAAUUAUCUGAUUAUAAAUAUCAGUUAUAGUAUCAUUUAAUAUGAGUUGUAACC